Molecule: small RNA, 2418 nt
Filed under: Arabidopsis thaliana (thale cress)
Lineage: Eukaryota; Viridiplantae; Streptophyta; Magnoliopsida; Brassicales; Brassicaceae
Description: ATSL119050
Source: RNAcentral
ACUCAUGUUUUUAUUUGCUAAGAGUCUUAUUCGAAAUAGGAGAAUCUAAAUCAGAUCUGAUUCAAACACUGAAUCAAAAUGGUGAGUUAAUUGGUUGAAGAAUUGCGAGGGAAUUGCUAGACGCAAUCGCACUUCCCUCGCAAAUUUUAUCCUAAACCCUAAAUUAUUAAAAAUCAUAAAUUGCGAGGGACUUGCUAGGAGUUCUGGCAAUUCCCUCGCAAUAUGUGGUGCGUUUUAAUUGGUUUAAAAAUCUUCCUCGCAAUUUCAAAGCAAACUGUGCGAGGGUUUUGCAAGAAAAUAGAUUUCUAUAUAUAUUCGAAGACCUAGUUUGAGCGGAGCUCAAACCAGCCGCAUCCCUAACCCUAAAUUUUUUCUUCUUCUUCUCUGAUCUCUUCGGCGCCGGAGCUCUUCUUCUCCGAUCUGAUUCCGUCGCCGCCUCUCUUCUUCUUCUUCUCUAAUCUGUUAUACUCAUCGCCGCCUCUCUUCUUCUCCGAUCUAAUUACGGCGCAGAGUCUCUUCGCCGCCUCUCUUCUUCUUCGAUCUGUGCUCGAGAACCGCCACGUCUCCUCUUCUCCGACUCGAUCGGUUUUGCCUCAUAGGUAACCUCUGUUUCUCCAAUCUAAGUUCUUCUCUCAAAUCCGACUUAUUCUUCUUCUCCGAUCUUACUCUUUUUCCCAGAUCUAACUCUUCUUCUUCUUCUCUAAUCUGUUAUACUCAUCGCCGCCUCUCUUCUUCUCCGAUCUAAUUACGGCGCAGACUCUCUUCGCCGCCUCUCUUCUUCUUCGAUCUGUGCUCCAGAACCGCCGCGGCUCUUCUUCUCUGACUCGAUCUGUUUUGCCUCAAAGAUAACCUCUGUUUCUCCGAUCUAAGUUCUUCUCUCAAAUCUGACAUAUUCUUCUUCUCCGAUCUUACUUUUUUUUUCCCAGAUCUAACACUUGAUUUGUUUUUUGUGCAAGAUGCCGUCAGAUAAUACUUAUGUCCGGUUUAGACAACAGCAGCGUGACCCGUUGCAUGUCAAUUCUCCGCUUAGUGGUGGAAAUAUCUCAGGGGUUCAAGGUUCAGGUUCAGGUUCAGGUUCAACCGUUCAACCAUCGCCUCCAACGCCAACGACUCAGCCUUCUGUCAAUCAUUCUGAUGUUCAAGCUGACCGUCUCAACAAUCUGACACUAAAAGAGCUCCUCGAUAGUCCUGGUCGUGCUGGCUUGACAAGGCUAGACCCAAAGCGUCCUCCGGGAACUCUAUGGUAAGGUUAAGCUUAUAGUCUCUGGAAUUAGGUCUUGUAAGUUGGUUAGUUUUGCCUUAGAAGUUUGAUUCUGCCUUAGAAGUCUCUGGAUUUAGGUUGGUUCUGCCUUAGAAGUUUGGUCCUGCCUUAGAAGUCUCUGGAUUUAGGUUGGUUGUACUUAGCAUUGUAGUUUCUUAGAAGUAUAAAGACAUAGAGAUCCUUAUGUGUUUUGUUGCUGUUGUUGUAGGUUUGACGAUGACUCUAUAGUUGCAGCAACAGUCCGCAGCAUAUUUGAAAGAGAUUUCAAAGAACCUCAUGCCAAUUGGUCACAGACAUCAAAGGCUACAAUCGAUCGAUGGUAUGAAACGUUUGCGGUAAAAUUUGUGCUCUUUUGAUGUUUAUGCUUGUUUUGUUUGCUUUGUCUGUUUUGUUUGCUUUGCUUUGUCUGUUUUGUAGUCUGAUGUUUGAUGUUUGCUUUGUCUGUUUUGUAGCAAGUAUAUAACUGGGACCGUUCAAUUAACAAAAGAGUAAGGGUUGAGUUUGAAGCAAAGCUAAAGUCUAGGAUGUCUGAUCAAGUGUCAAGGUGGAAGGGAAAUUGGAAGGAGAAAGGUGAUGAAGCCAAGCCAAAAUGGAUUGAUCCUGAUGUGUGGAAAGGUCUAGUACAGUUUUGGCAAGAUCCAAAGUCAGAGAAAAAAAGUAACAACAGCAGAAAUGCUAGAUAUCAUGAUCCGGAUGGCAAAGGCAUCUAUAAACACCGUUCAGGCCAGACCUCUUACAAAGCUCGUGCAAGAAAACGGGUUAGAUAAGUAUUCUUCUCUCCUUACCAUUACUUAAACUACAAUGUUAUGAAUCUAACUUGUUUAUCUCUUUGUGUUUCAGUGUGAGAAGACUGGAGAAACAACUCCUGAUUUCCUAGAGCUGCUAGAUGAGACACACAGAAAAGCGGAUGGAACUUUCAUCGAUGGGAAGUCAGAGGAAAUUUACAAGCAAGUGACAUCUAGGAUAGAAGAGGAAGAGUCUCAUAUGUGCUCAGUGGACAAUCCGGAGAGCACUGGAUCAGGUGGAUUGUCUGUUCAUGCCAAAAACAAGAUUUUUACUGAGGUAAAUCUUCUGUGCUUUUUCUUUGCAGCUUGUUGUGUUGUGUACUUGUCUGAAUUUUGUUGUGUACUUGUCUGAAUUAUGUUGUGUACUUGGCA